This 301-nucleotide ribosomal RNA is filed under the name uncultured bacterium. RNAcentral describes it as "partial 16S ribosomal RNA". It matches the Rfam family "Bacterial small subunit ribosomal RNA", at positions 509 to 807 of the family's 1533-position model. The record is from RNAcentral.
CAGUAGCCACGGUAAUACGAAGGGUGCAAGCGUUAAUCGGAAUUACUGGGCGUAAAGCGUGCGUAGGCGGUUUGUUAAGUCUGCUGUGAAAUCCCCGGGCUCAACCUGGGAAUGGCAGUGGAUACUGGCAAGCUAGAGUGUGUCAGAGGAUGGUGGAAUUCCCGGUGUAGCGGUGAAAUGCGUAGAGAUCGGGAGGAACAUCAGUGGCGAAGGCGGCCAUCUGGGACAACACUGACGCUGAGGCACGAAAGCGUGGGGAGCAAACAGGAUUAGAUACCCGUGUAGUCCCUGUCUCUUAUAC